RNAcentral lists this ribosomal RNA (467 nucleotides) under uncultured bacterium. RNAcentral's name for it is "partial 16S ribosomal RNA". It matches the Rfam family "Bacterial small subunit ribosomal RNA", at positions 28 to 507 of the family's 1533-position model. The record is from RNAcentral.
GACGAACGCUGGCGGCGUGCUUAACACAUGCAAGUCGAACGGAAAGGCCCUGCUUUUGUGGGGUGCUCGAGUGGCGAACGGGUGAGUAACACUUGAGUAACCUGCCCUUGACUUUGGGAUAACUUCAGGAAACUGGGGCUAAUACCGGAUAGGAGCUCCUGCUGCAUGGUGGGGGUUGGAAAGUUUCGGCGGUUGGGGAUGGACUCGCGGCUUAUCAGCUUGUUGGUGGGGUAGUGGCUUACCAAGGCUUUGACGGGUAGCCGGCCUGAGAGGGUGACCGGCCACAUUGGGACUGAGAUACGGCCCAGACUCCUACGGGAGGCAGCAGUGGGAAUAUUGCACAAUGGGCGGAAGCCUGAUGCAGCAACGCCGCGUGCGGGAUGACGGCCUUCGGGUUGUAAACCGCUUUCGCCUGUGACGAAGCGUGAGUGACGGUAAUGGGUAAAGAAGCACCGGCUAACUACGUG